Molecule: unclassified non-coding RNA, 404 nt
Filed under: Hevea brasiliensis (rubber tree)
Lineage: Eukaryota; Viridiplantae; Streptophyta; Magnoliopsida; Malpighiales; Euphorbiaceae
Source: RNAcentral
ACAUCGUCAAGGCGGAUUCCGACCACAUGCUUUCCAAUGUCCGCUCCACAUGUGACCUCGCCGACCAUGUCAGCGCCAAGGUUCGGGAGCUUGACCUUGCCCAAUCGCGGGUUAAUACUACGCUUCUACGCAUUGAUGCGAUUGUGGAAAGAGGGAAUUGCAUCGAGGGGGUGAAAAACGCUCUCGAAGCAGAGGAUUACGAGGCGGCCUCGAAGUGUGUGCAGACAUUUCUGCAGAUUGAUGCGAAAUAUAAGGAUUCCGGAUCGGACCAGAGAGAUCAGUUGCUAGCGUCGAAGAAGCAGCUGGAAGGAAUAGUGAGGAAGCGGCUUUCAGCUGCAGUGGAUCAGCGGGACCAUCCAACAAUUCUAAGGUUUGUUAGGUUGUAUUCGCCUUUAGGACUCGAG